RNAcentral lists this long non-coding RNA (395 nucleotides) under Bos taurus (domestic cattle). RNAcentral describes it as "long non-coding RNA NONBTAT011123". The record is from RNAcentral. Lineage: Eukaryota; Metazoa; Chordata; Mammalia; Artiodactyla; Bovidae.
CACUAUGAACAUUUGUUUUAAAUUUCAUCAUUUAAGUAUCUAUCUUUGCUCUUGUUGGAUCUUUUAUUCUGAGUUCCUGCUUUUCUUAGUGUUCUAUUCUAUUUCCUUUAUUGAAUCCCCUUUUAAUGCCUAAUUUUCUAUUGUUCUCCCACGUUUCAGUUCUCAGCAGUCUUCUUCCUAUAUGGAUAGCUCCUUUGGAGAUUUUAUCUAUUUAAUGACGUCAGCUCAUAUCUACAUGUUCCUUAGAUCUCACUUCUCAUAUGUGAAUAACAGAUAAUGUUGGAAAUAGCUUACUACCACUUGUCUGUGGGGACAUUUCUAAGUGGAUAUCACACAGUCAACACACAAUGAAUACAUUUGAGACUCAACCCAUUUUAUCCAUUCUCAAUCCUACU